GGCAGUCUAUACCCCAACUCAACUGGCUGGUCCUCAAUGCUGCCUGCUUCCGUGCCCAACUUAGAACUACACAUCUGCUGCCUCUUGGUAACAUGUCAUUAUAAGAGUUUCACUCUGUUGCCAGGCUGGAGUACAGUGGCACGAUCUUGGCUCACUGCAACCUCCACCUCCCAGGUUCAAGAGAUACUCCUGCCUCAGCCUCCUGAGUAGCUGGGACUACAGCCACGUGCCACCACACCCAUCUAAUUUUUGUAUUUUUAGUAGAGACUGAGUUUCACCAUGUUGGCCAGGCCAGGAUGGUCUCUAUCUCUUGACCUCAUGAUCCACCCGCCUUGGCCUCUCAAAGUGCUGGGACUGCAGGCUUCUUCAUCAGCCCUAACCCUGCCAACCACUCCUGCCUCACUGAAUGUGCCAACGGAUUGCUCAGCUCCAACCAAGGAAAAGAAGAAGGAAGUUGGAUACUUUAUACCCUCUACAUUGUCCAUUAGCAACACAACCUAGAGCUAGGAUGGAGAAAGAAAAUGCCAAAAUGCUAAUGAAAAAUGUUCAGAUGUAUCACAUAUUAAGCAUACAUGAUCUCAAAUAUUUUGCCUGAUUUAUGCUAUGCAUGCUAUUUUCCAUGUUGUGUAGGCUCUGAUGCUAGUCUACAUUUACAGAAAUCUCCAUCAGCUGUACAAAUGGCAAUUUAAAUACAUUUAACUAUGUGCUAAUAAUCUCAUAAUACAAUUUAUCAUGUAUGAUUGGCAGAAGAAAUUAUUUGGGGCAAAAGCUAUGAUUGUAUUGUUGUAAGUUAUUAUGAAUGCUGGGCAGUGUAGGGCAUGGCACUUGCUACCACCUCCCAGAAAUGUGUAAGGGC
This 856-nucleotide long non-coding RNA is filed under the name Homo sapiens (human). Its description in RNAcentral is "lncRNA regulator of Akt signaling associated with HCC and RCC". Lineage: Eukaryota; Metazoa; Chordata; Mammalia; Primates; Hominidae. The record is from RNAcentral.